RNAcentral lists this ribosomal RNA (118 nucleotides) under Cavia porcellus (domestic guinea pig). The record is from RNAcentral. Lineage: Eukaryota; Metazoa; Chordata; Mammalia; Rodentia; Caviidae.
GUCUAUAGCAAUGUCACACUGAAUGCACCUGAUCUAGUCUGAUCUCAGAAGCUGCACAGGGUCAGGCCUGGUUAGUACUUGGAUGAGAAGAAUGAGAAGGAGGAAUUCACAGUGGAUC